This 443-nucleotide long non-coding RNA is filed under the name Rattus norvegicus (Norway rat). Its description in RNAcentral is "long non-coding RNA NONRATT006866". Lineage: Eukaryota; Metazoa; Chordata; Mammalia; Rodentia; Muridae. The record is from RNAcentral.
CGGCGGCUGCAGGGUGCGCCGUGGCGGUGGGUAGAGGCGUCGAGUGUGCCAGCCCGCCACAGGCCGACGGGUGGAAGCCGGCGUGGUGACCCCCGUAAAUCUCGCUCACCAGUCUCUUCAUCUCCUCCAGCGAGUUGGUGAGCAUCAGGAUGUAGUUUCGCGCCAGCAGCAGCGUGGCGAUCUUGGAGAGCUUGCGCACCGACGGGCCGUGCGCGUACGGCAUGACCUCCCUCAGGCCGUCCAUGGCGAUGUUGAGGUCGUGCAUGCGCUUGCGCUCGCGGCUGUUGAUCUUCAGGCGCAGCUGCUGCAGCUCGGGCUCAGUCAUCUGCUUCUUAUCUUUCUUGGUGGAAGACGUGGCCGCCGACGACGUGGACGAGGAGGUGCUGGAGGAAGAUGACUUGAAGCCACCGCCGCCCAGUUUGUCCCCGGGAUGCGCGCCCGCC